CCACAACUUCUCCAAAUCUAAAAUUUGGUGCGUCAUUUACUGUAGCUAAACAGAAACUGGGCUGAUUUCACCUUUUUUCUGUUCUCUUUCAUCUGGGUGGAUUUUUGAAGAACCAUGGAUGCAUCGUCCUCUCCCCAGCCUUUGGCUAUGGGAGAGAUGAAUUCAAAUGGCAAACCAACACUAACGUAUGUUGCUCAAGUGGAAAAAAAAGGCAGUUGCUACUUCGAAUCAAAAGCUGCUGAAG
This 244-nucleotide long non-coding RNA is filed under the name Nicotiana benthamiana. RNAcentral describes it as "long non-coding RNA (NBEN_LNC001393)". The record is from RNAcentral. Lineage: Eukaryota; Viridiplantae; Streptophyta; Magnoliopsida; Solanales; Solanaceae.